UGGGGAAUUUUGGACAAUGGGGGAAACCCUGAUCCAGCCAUCCCGCGUGUGCGAUGAAGGCCUUCGGGUUGUAAAUCACUUUUUGCAGGAAAGAAACGUCAUGGGUUAAUACCCCGUGAAACUGACGGUACCUGCAGAAUAAGCACCGGCUAACUACGUGCCAGCAGCCGCGGUAAUACGUAGGGUGCAAGCGUUAAUCGGAAUUACUGGGCGUAAAGCGUGCGCAGGCGGUUCGGAAAGAAAGAUGUGAAAUCCCAGAGCUCAACUUUGGAACUGCAUAUUUAACUACCGGGCUAGAGUGUGUCAGAGGGAGGUGGAAUUCCGCGUGUAGCAGUGAAAUGCGUAGAUAUGCGGAGGAACACCGAUGGCGAAGGCAGCCUCCUGGGAUAACACUGACGCUCAUGCACGAAAGCGUGGGGAGCAAACAGG
RNAcentral lists this ribosomal RNA (429 nucleotides) under Acidobacteriota bacterium. RNAcentral's name for it is "Acidobacteria bacterium partial 16S ribosomal RNA". It matches the Rfam family "Bacterial small subunit ribosomal RNA", at positions 355 to 776 of the family's 1533-position model. Lineage: Bacteria; Pseudomonadati; Acidobacteriota. The record is from RNAcentral.